This 153-nucleotide ribosomal RNA is filed under the name Salmonella enterica subsp. enterica. RNAcentral describes it as "partial 23S ribosomal RNA". It matches the Rfam family "Bacterial large subunit ribosomal RNA", at positions 1 to 145 of the family's 2925-position model. RNAcentral also lists the same sequence under 3 other names. The record is from RNAcentral. Lineage: Bacteria; Pseudomonadati; Pseudomonadota; Gammaproteobacteria; Enterobacterales; Enterobacteriaceae.
GGGUUGUGAGGUUAAGCGACUAAGCGUACACGGUGGAUGCCCUGGCAGUCAGAGGCGAUGAAGGGCGUGCUAAUCUGCGAUAAGCGCCGGUAAGGUGAUAUGAACCGUUAUAACCGGCGAUACCCGAAUGGGGAAACCCAGUGUGAUUCGUCA